UAAUAAAAGAUAUACUAAUUUUAGAUCCGAAAAUAUCAAAGAAAAUACGAACAGAAAUGUAACUUAAAACAACUAACCAAAUCAUAUCAACGAUGACUUCGAACGAAAAUAUAUCUGCCCAGGAAUUUUGAAACCCAAAAUAAUUCGAAUCUGCCAGGAAUCUCAACAACGACCUCGACGAAGAAUCUCAACAACGACCUCGACGAAUC
RNAcentral lists this long non-coding RNA (209 nucleotides) under Nicotiana benthamiana. RNAcentral's name for it is "long non-coding RNA (NBEN_LNC036074)". Lineage: Eukaryota; Viridiplantae; Streptophyta; Magnoliopsida; Solanales; Solanaceae. The record is from RNAcentral.